RNAcentral lists this ribosomal RNA (446 nucleotides) under uncultured bacterium. RNAcentral describes it as "partial 16S ribosomal RNA". It matches the Rfam family "Bacterial small subunit ribosomal RNA", at positions 338 to 795 of the family's 1533-position model. The record is from RNAcentral.
CCUACGGGGGGCAGCAGUCGAGAAUCAUUCACAAUGGGGGAAACCCUGAUGGUGCGACGCCGCGUGGGGGAAUGAAGGUCUUCGGAUUGUAAACCCCUGUCAUGUGGGAGCAAAUUAAAAAGAUAGUACCACAAGAGGAAGAGACGGCUAACUCUGUGCCAGCAGCCGCGGUAAUACAGAGGUCUCAAGCGUUGUCCAGAAGCACUGGGCGUAAAGGGUGCGUAGGCUGUUUCGUAAGUCGUGUGUGAAAGGCGCGGGCUCAACCCGCGGACGGCACAUGAUACUGCGAGACUAGAGUAAUGGAGGGGGAACCGGAAUUCUCGGUGUAGCAGUGAAAUGCGUAGAUAUCGAGAGGAACACUCGUGGCGAAGGCGGGUUCCUGGACAUUAACUGACGCUGAGGCACGAAGGCCAGGGGAGCGAAAGGGAUUAGAUACCCUUGUAGUC